Bubalus bubalis (water buffalo) is the source of this 831-nucleotide long non-coding RNA. RefSeq lists it as uncharacterized. Lineage: Eukaryota; Metazoa; Chordata; Mammalia; Artiodactyla; Bovidae. The record is from RefSeq and is a predicted model, not a curated record. The transcript is spliced from 2 exons.
UUUGCCUCUUAGGGGAUGUCUGAAGACAUUUUUUAUUGCCAUGACUUGUGGAGGUGUUGCUAUUGGCACCUAGAGGGUAGAGGCUGGGGAUGCUGCUAAACAUCCUAUACUGCUCAAGACAGCCCCCUGCAUAACAAAUAAUUACUAAGUCCAAAGUGUCAAUAGAACUAAAUUGGAGAAAUCAUGCUCGAUUAAAACACAGACCUGGGCUCCACCUCUAGCAAAUUUGCUUUGCUUUGUUUAGCAGAACGCAAUGGCUGGGUGAUGAUCAGGACACAGAAGAUGACUUAUCCCUGAACUUUCCAGGCCUUGAACUUGAGAAAGAUUGGCAGUGAUAGCAGGAGUGGAAUAAGAAUAUUGAAAAGGCCGGGAAGAAAUGGCAUUCCCACGGUCAGUACUGGCAGCACUUCACCCAGAAGACCGGCAUGGGGAAUUUCCUGUCCGGAUGUAGAGAAUCUGCCCAGCGGGUGGUUCUGGACAGUGGGGAAGUAGGGAGGGCUCUGCGGGGGCACAACGAUCAUGGAAACAGUGGUCUGUAGUACAACUCUUGGUCCAGUCUAACCCCCAUGAACCCUGUAGGUAUGAAAGCACUGGUUUGGAAAGAGCAGAAAGGUGAGCAAGUUUGGAGACACUCUGACAGGGUUACGUAGGGGAACAUUUGUUCUUCUACACUUCACAUUGUUUCCUAUGCGUAAUCUUACCCCUUAAAUCAGGGUCAAGAAACUGACCCUAGCCUCCUUUUAAAAAGCAAAGGUUAUAUAAGCUAUCAGCUCUAGAAUCUGCCACCUUAGGACUGAUGACUACAAUAAAGAAUUUCUUAUGAAAUUCAAA